AACAUGGCAAGUCGAGCGGCCAGCGCGGGGCAACCUGGCGGCGAGCGGCGGACGGGUGAGGAAUGCAUCGGAAUCUACCCUGUCGUGGGGGAUAACGUAGGGAGCCUUACGCUAAUACCGCAUACGACCGAGAGGUGAAAGUGGGGGACCGCAAGGCCUCACGCGAUUGGAUGAGCCGAUGCCGGAUUAGCUAGUUGGAGGGGUAAAGGCCCACCAAGGCGACGAUCCGUAGCUGGUCUGAGAGGAUGAUCAGCCACAUUGGGACUGAGACACGGCCCAAACUCCUACGGGAGGCAGCAGUGGGGAAUAUUGGACAAUGGGCGCAAGCCUGAUCCAGCCAUGCCGCGUGUGUGAAGAAGGCCUUCGGGUUGUAAAGCACUUAGGUUCGGGANGAAAUCGUGCGGAUUAAUACUCUGUACGGAUGACGGUACCGAAAGAAUAAGCACCGGCUAACUUCGUGCCAGCAGCCGCGGUAAUACGAAGGGUGCAAGCGUUACUCGGAAUCACUGGGCGUAAAGCGUGCGUAGGCGGUUCGUUAAGUCUGCUGUGAAAGCCCUGGGCUCAACCUGGGAACUGCAGUGGAUACUGGCGGACUAGAGUGUGAUAGAGGAUGGUGGAAUUCCCGGUGUAGCGGUGAAAUGCGUAGAGAUCGGGAGGAACACCAGUGGCGAAGGCGGCCAUCUGGAUCAACACUGACGCUGAGGCACGAAAGCGUGGCGAGCAAACAGGAUUAGAUACCCUGGUAGUCCACGCCCUAAACGAUGCGAACUGGACGUUGGUUGCAACUUGGCAAUCAGUGUCGAAGCUAACGCGUUAAGUUCGCCGCCUGGGGAGUACGGUCGCAAGACUGAAACUCCAAGGAUUGACGGGGGCCCGCACAAGCGGUGGAGUAUGUGGUUUAAUUCGAUGCAACGCGAAGAACCUUACCUGGCCUUGACAUCCAGUGAACUUUCCAGAGAUGGAUUGGUGCCUUCGGGAACACUGAGACAGGUGCUGCAUGGAUGUCGUCAGCUCGUGUCGUGAGAUGUUGGGUUAAGUCCCGCAACGAGCGCAACCCUUGUCCUUAGUUGCCAGCACGUAAAGGUGGGAACUCUAAGGAGACUGCCGGUGACAAACCGGAGGAAGGUGGGGAUGACGUCAAGUCAUCAUGGCCCUUACGGCCAGCCCUACACACGUACUACAAUGGUCGGUACAGAGGGUUGCAAUACCGCGAGGUGGAGCCAAUCCCAGAAAACCGAUCCCAGUCCGGAUCGGAGUCUGCAACUCGACUCCGUGAAGUCGGAAUCGCUAGUAAUCGCGGAUCAGCUAUGCCGCGGUGAAUACGUUCCCGGGCCUUGUACACACCGCUCGUCACACCAUGGGAGUUGGUUGCUCCAGAAG
This 1380-nucleotide ribosomal RNA is filed under the name Tahibacter aquaticus. Its description in RNAcentral is "bacterial SSU rRNA". It matches the Rfam family "Bacterial small subunit ribosomal RNA", at positions 52 to 1426 of the family's 1533-position model. The record is from RNAcentral. Lineage: Bacteria; Pseudomonadati; Pseudomonadota; Gammaproteobacteria; Lysobacterales; Rhodanobacteraceae.